Molecule: ribosomal RNA, 253 nt
Filed under: uncultured bacterium
Lineage: Bacteria
Description: partial 16S ribosomal RNA
Rfam family: Bacterial small subunit ribosomal RNA
Source: RNAcentral
UACGUAUGGUGCAAGCGUUAUCCGGAUUUACUGGGCGUAAAGGGAGCGCAGGCGGUGUGCCAAGUCUGAUGUGAAACCCCGGGGCUCAACCCCGGGCAAGCAUUGGAAACUGGCGGGCUGGAGUGCCGGAGAGGUAAGCGGAAUCCCUAGUGUAGCGGUGAAAUGCGUAGAUAUUAGGAGGAACACCAGUGGCGAAGGCGGCUUACUGGACGGCAACUGACGCUGAGGCUCGAAAGCGUGGGGAGCAAACAGG